CAGCAGCCGUGGGAAUACAGAGGGUGCAAGCGUUAAUCGGAAUUACUGGGCGUAAAGCGCGCGUAGGUGGUUUGUUAAGUUGGAUGUGAAAUCCCCGGGCUCAACCUGGGAACUGCAUCCAAAACUGGCAAGCUAGAGUAUGGUAGAGGGUGGUGGAAUUUCCUGUGUAGCGGUGAAAUGCGUAGAUAUAGGAAGGAACACCAGUGGCGAAGGCGACCACCUGGACUGAUACUGACACUGAGGUGCGAAAGCGUGGGGAGCAAACAGGAUUAGAUACCCCCGUAGUCCCUGUCUCUUAUAC
RNAcentral lists this ribosomal RNA (301 nucleotides) under uncultured bacterium. RNAcentral's name for it is "partial 16S ribosomal RNA". It matches the Rfam family "Bacterial small subunit ribosomal RNA", at positions 509 to 807 of the family's 1533-position model. The record is from RNAcentral.